RNAcentral lists this ribosomal RNA (605 nucleotides) under Phlegmacium aurilicis. Its description in RNAcentral is "eukaryotic LSU rRNA". The stretch from base 223 to 376 matches the Rfam family "5.8S ribosomal RNA". The record is from RNAcentral. Lineage: Eukaryota; Fungi; Basidiomycota; Agaricomycetes; Agaricales; Cortinariaceae.
GCUGCUGGUUCUUGAGGGAGCAUGUGCACACUUGUCAAUUUUUUGUAUUUCCACCUGUGAACCUUUUGUAGACCUUGGGUAUCUCUCUGAUUGCUUUUAGCAUUCAGGAUUGGGGAUUGACUUUAUGUCUCUUCUUACAUUUCCAGGUCUAUGUUUCUUCAAAUACCCUAAUGUAUGUUUAAAGAAUGUAAUUAAUAGGCUUUUAUGCCUAUAAAUUGAUACAACUUUCAGCAACGGAUCUCUUGGCUCUCGCAUCGAUGAAGAACGCAGCGAAAUGCGAUAAGUAAUGUGAAUUGCAGAAUUCAGUGAAUCAUCGAAUCUUUGAACGCACCUUGCGCUCCUUGGUAUUCCGAGGAGCAUGCCUGUUUGAGUGUCAUUAAUAUAUCAACCUUUUUGGUUGGAUGUGGGUUUGCUGGCCAUUUUUGAGGUCAGCUCUCCUUAAAUGUAUUAGCAGACGACAUUUUGCCAAACGUUUAUUGGUGUGAUAAUUAUCUACACUAUUGACGUGAAGCAGGUUUCAGCUUCUAACAGUCCAUUGACUUGGACAAAUUUUAUUAAUGUGACCUCAAAUCAGGUAGGACUACCCGCUGAACUUAAGCAUAUCA